AGAAACUUAGUAUUCAUAAGAUAAAGGUGGUUUCAUGCUGGUACCAUUUAACAAUCAUUUUAAGAGUGAUCAUGUUGUGAUGAAAAGCAUAAUUAAUCAUUUGUGAAGGGUCCAUAGACCCGGGGUCCCCAUUGGGCCCACUUUUCCACAAAGCUUGGCCCAACGAGAGGCGUAGCAAUAAUGCACGUCUGGUUCAGCCCAAAUAUGCGAUGCCAGGCCGAGACCAAGAUUCGGC
RNAcentral lists this long non-coding RNA (235 nucleotides) under Setaria italica (foxtail millet). RNAcentral's name for it is "long non-coding RNA (SITA_LNC002373)". The record is from RNAcentral. Lineage: Eukaryota; Viridiplantae; Streptophyta; Magnoliopsida; Poales; Poaceae.